GUCACGCAAGUGACAUACAAGGUCUAGUAGUAAGAAGCCCCGCCUUAUAGUCGGGGCUUUUUAUUUGUUAAAUUACGGGCAUUUGCCCUUUUUUU
This 95-nucleotide small RNA is filed under the name Moritella yayanosii. RNAcentral's name for it is "rimP". It matches the Rfam family "Gammaprotebacteria rimP leader". The record is from RNAcentral. Lineage: Bacteria; Pseudomonadati; Pseudomonadota; Gammaproteobacteria; Alteromonadales; Moritellaceae.